This is a non-coding RNA of Ciona intestinalis (vase tunicate), 549 nucleotides long. Lineage: Eukaryota; Metazoa; Chordata; Ascidiacea; Phlebobranchia; Cionidae. The record is from RefSeq and is a predicted model, not a curated record.
CAUAAUUCUUUGAAUGUAUUUUUUUACUACCAAGUUGGAAGAGCAAAAAUAAUGAAAAGGUGUCCCAUUUCCCCCGCCCUGUGUGUAUCUUUAAUGAACAAAAUAGCUUUUUGAAUUGCUCGUAUUACUAAUAAUCACAGAAGUUUUCACGACUCUUGUCCCUCUGGCCUGAUUGCGACGCGGCGUUUGUUUCUUGCGCUGGUAACUCGUGAUGGUUUUGGAUAGAAGUAGUUAGUUGUCAAUGUAACCUACUGUUGCUUUGUAUGAUAUACUACUAUGUAUACGGUUCAACUCGCCACCGCUUUUAUAAAAGAUCGUCGUCAAGUUAUUAAUCGUUCCACAAGUUCCAUCGCUACAUUGUUGAGGGGAUUGCGAGCAUUGGACGUAGUUAGGAACCGACACGUUUAUUGAGCCUCCAUGUUCUGCAGCUACUGGGGGUUUGAAUCUGAAAUCAACACAACAUGCCAUUGCAAAUGAUAGGAUUCGUACCCACGGAACGCGAGAAGUCCCAACGUUUUGUGCAUCGUCCACGAGCGACCGUUAUCAAGG